AUACGGAGGGUGCGAGCGUUGUCCGGAAUCACUGGGCGUAAAGGGCGCGUAGGCGGCGCAGUAAGUAGGGGGUGAAAUCUCACGGCUCAACCGUGAAACGGCCUCCUAAACUGCUGUGCUUGAGCACGGUAGAGGCAGAUGGAAUUCCCGGUGUAGCGGUGGAAUGCGUAGAUAUCGGGAAGAACACCAGUGGCGAAGGCGGUCUGCUGGGCCGUUGCUGACGCUGAGGCGCGACAGCGUGGGGAGCAAACAGGAUUAGAAACCCCAGUAGUCC
Molecule: ribosomal RNA, 274 nt
Filed under: uncultured bacterium
Lineage: Bacteria
Description: partial 16S ribosomal RNA
Rfam family: Bacterial small subunit ribosomal RNA
Source: RNAcentral